GAGUGUUUGGGCAGAGACAUCCAUCAGGGUUUGUUCCUAGUCCUCUAGAGCGAUACAGAUAGAUCCUGCUGCCUACUCUCAGACUGAUGCAGGUCACCUUGACCUCCACCACCAGGCAUCACCAGCAGGGGGCGGCACAGGUGCAGCAGUAAAUCAUCGUUCACUCUGAUGUCAUCCAGUCCAUCCUGCACAUCAUCAGCAAGACUGCACUGCCAGGAGACCUUUAGAUGGGACAGGAAAUCAACUGAUGGAAGUACAAGGACACAUCGGCAGAUUCCAGAUGUGGCCAUUCCCUCUGUACGGGUGCCCAGUCUGGGAUUGGUUCUGCUUCUGCUGAAGAACAGCGCCACUGACUUCUUCCGAUAUCAUGACAGCCACAGACAGAGCCUGAACAAGCUGGAGCGAGUGGAGCAGCUUCCCCGAGGAACUGAAGGAGGGAGCUGUGCCAGAGUCUGGUGUCUGGUUCUGGUGGAGUGGAAAAGAUCCCAUCAGUGGAGAGAAACGUGCUUGUCAAGCGCAGGCUCGUCCAGCUGGUCAACAGUCGAGCCAAACUUCUUGCCCUCUGCUCCUGUAUCCUAACACAAUAAAGAGAAAUCCAGAGAUGAUCCAGUCUGCUUUUCAAAAUAACUUUUGACCGUUUAUUCGGUUACAUUCUUUUGACGAUUGCAAUCUGACACUCAGUAUGUUGGAACGAGUUGCAUGUUUUUCCUUGACAUUUCUCUGAAGAUGUCGUGCCUGUUUGUGAUUUGGCGCCAUCUAGAGUUCUACUUGCUGUACUGCACUCCCACUGACCCCAAAGACUCACUUCUGCCAGGUUACAGAGAUCCUAGUGGCAGCAGAGAUUUAAGGGUGUCAAGAGUGAGCCAGCAAGAUCUUGAACAGCUUCAAUGAGCCAUUACAGAGGAAGCAGCUGGAGGUGGAGGGUCUGUAUAGCAAAAUCCGCUCACGUCACACCUUCAUCCCGGCCCUGACACGCAGGAUCCGAGGCCUAGUGCAUCACGCCAGAGGCUGAUCACUGACAUACAUGUAAAUUCCCUCAAAUAGUGUAAAACCUUACUCUUUUGUAUUAAGAAGCAAAUACCGUAUUUUUCGGACUAUAAGUCACACCUGAGUAUAAGUCGCAUCAGUCCAAAAAAUACGUCAUGAUGAGGAAAAAAAACAUAUGUGACCAAUCACGGAAAGUAGGGACACAAGUCGGUUCUGGGGCAUUUUGAGUUAUUCACAGAUUCUGAAAGUGUAGUCUCCAAGCUUUCCAACGAUGUGUAACACAUGGAAAUCGGAUAAUAUAUUAUAUAAAUCGCACUGGACUAUAAGUCGCAUUCAUUUAGAACCAAGAACCAAGAGAAAACAUUAACGUCUACAACCGCGAGAGGGCGCUCUAUGUCUUCAGCGUAGACUACAGGAGCACUGAGCAGCAUAGAGCGCCCUCUCGUGGCUCUAGACGGUAAUGUUUUCUCUUGGUUCAGGUCUCUUCAUUCAUUUCUCUCGGUUCAUGUGAUAUUAAUUUUGAUAAAUAAGUCACACCUGAAUGUAAGUCGCAGGACCAGCCAAACUAUGAAAAAAAGUGUGACUUAUAGUCCGGAAAAUACGGUAAUUUCUUUUUGUAGUUUUGAUAACUAUCAGUCAACAGGUUACAUUUUCUUGCUCUGAAGAUCUCUGUACAAGAUAUCUGCUUUUUUUUUUUUUUAAAUGUGUUUAAUAAAUGGUUUUUU
Long non-coding RNA from Carassius gibelio (silver crucian carp), 1712 nucleotides. RefSeq lists it as uncharacterized. NCBI's taxonomy places the organism in Eukaryota, Metazoa, Chordata, Actinopteri, Cypriniformes, Cyprinidae. The transcript has 7 exons. The record is from RefSeq and is a predicted model, not a curated record.